UCCGGUCACAGCGGUACGAAUUGGACAAAUUACUGCUCUUUAUCAAUGCUGAAAAACCAUCUUUGAAAUGGAAUCAAAAUCUGCAAAUUUCACUCAGCCGAUGUUGAGAUAUCGACCGUUCAGUUCCCCCGGAUUUGCUCUCCCCUGGGAGGCUGCGAAGAAAUUAUUUUUCAGUUAAUUAUCGAUAUCUUCCGACCCAAUGAAACGAAUUUGAUGAACGUGAGCUCCUUUUGAAACGAAAAAAAAAAUCUUUGGAAUGACAAAAAAUGGUCAAAUUUCUCUCAGGUGAUCAUGAGCUACAGGGAAUGUUCCUGGUACAGACGAGAUUCUUACGAGACUUGGCAACAGUGAGGAGUCGUGGUAGAACUAAACAAGUUUCACCGAUGAUUUCGUAAUUAUCUCCUCUUUUUUUUGUGUUGAUUAACGUAUUAAUUAUCGACAUAUUAGUUUUAAAAACACUGGAAACCCCACUUUCCACUUGAAAUGCCGUCCAGAUAUUCGUGAAAGGUUUACAUGGUAUUUAAUAACCUGAGGAACACAUGGGUUUGUUUGGUUAGGUAAUUGAUGGACAAAAUUCAAAAAUGAGAAGGUGGUUUAGACAAUUUAUCAGGGGAAGGACAGGCCCCAUCCCCAGGGGAUAUGCCGCCGAUAUGAAGCAUAAAUUGAGUCUGGUGUAUAUUUUUACUGCGUUUAAUGCUGUGGGGGUGUUCCUAGCAAUACUUCUGACGGAGUAUUACCCCAUGACUGCGAAGGAGAAAAGACAACCAGGGAGAUACUAUGCGAGAAUCUGGCAGGGAGACGAUGUCUCCGUUAUCAAAGUUGAUGGAUUCAAAAUUGUUAACAGUUAUGAAAUCAAAGGAACCCCCAAAUUACAGCCUAGUCCUACCGACAUGUUGGACGACGAUGCCGAGACUAUUACUGAAACCAGUAAUGAAGAAUUACUCUCAAAUUGAUAAAAUUUAUUUAUUUAUAAUACUUUAGAGCGUCUCAACGGUUGUAAACACACUUUACAAAAAUAUAUCAUUUUCGUUGCUGACAAAAUGAA
This is a long non-coding RNA of Diachasmimorpha longicaudata, 1045 nucleotides long. RefSeq lists it as uncharacterized. The record is from RefSeq and is a predicted model, not a curated record. The transcript has 3 exons. NCBI's taxonomy places the organism in Eukaryota, Metazoa, Arthropoda, Insecta, Hymenoptera, Braconidae.